AGAACGAACGCUGGCGGCAGGCUUAACACAUGCAAGUCGAGCGCCGUAGCAAUACGGAGCGGCAGACGGGUGAGUAACGCGUGGGAACAUACCUUUUGGUUCGGAACAACACAGGGAAACUUGUGCUAAUACCGGAUAAGCCCUUACGGGGAAAGAUUUAUCGCCGAAAGAUUGGCCCGCGUCUGAUUAGCUAGUUGGUGAGGUAACGGCUCACCAAGGCGACGAUCAGUAGCUGGUCUGAGAGGAUGAUCAGCCACAUUGGGACUGAGACACGGCCCAAACUCCUACGGGAGGCAGCAGUGGGGAAUAUUGGACAAUGGGCGCAAGCCUGAUCCAGCCAUGCCGCGUGAGUGAUGAAGGCCCUAGGGUUGUAAAGCUCUUUUGUGCGGGAAGAUAAUGACGGUACCGCAAGAAUAAGCCCGGCUAACUUCGUGCCAGCAGCCGC
RNAcentral lists this ribosomal RNA (445 nucleotides) under uncultured bacterium. RNAcentral's name for it is "SSU rRNA". It matches the Rfam family "Bacterial small subunit ribosomal RNA", at positions 26 to 518 of the family's 1533-position model. The record is from RNAcentral.